Non-coding RNA from Cyanistes caeruleus (blue tit), 659 nucleotides. Lineage: Eukaryota; Metazoa; Chordata; Aves; Passeriformes; Paridae. The record is from RefSeq and is a predicted model, not a curated record.
UUAAUAUUAAUAUUAAAGAUUAUUAAAGAUUCAAUGCGCUGCCCCUCGGAAGUACCUUAGCCUCAAGAUUGUGGAGUGGACCAUUGUGCCCCAGCUUCUACAGGACAAGCCCAGGAUCCUCUGGGAACUACAUGAGCUCUGUGGGAGCAUCACCUGGGUUCAUCCACUGCUGGGGAUCACCACCGAGGACCUCGCACCAUUGUUCCAUCUCCUGAAGGGCGAUGAAGACCUCAAUGCUCCGUAAUCCCUAGCACCAGAGGCCAGGGUGGCAGUAGAAAAGGUAGCUGAUACCAUCCAGACCAAACAGUCACACAGACCACCCAAGUACCCAGAGGCCAGAUCCAGGCAGGCUUUUCCAAGACUGGGGACAUGAGGGUUGGCUUUUAUCACUAGUUUCACAGCUGAGGAAAACCUUACCAGUCCAGUGCUGCAGAUGUGUGUUGGUGUCACACAGGAGGACAUUGUGGAGAGAGGGCUCAGGAUUGAAUUUAGGGGCUGGGAGAGGGCAGAAUGUGAUCCCUUAGAAUGAAAUUGGAUCAAGACUCAUGCAAAAAUGGCAAGGACAGAAAAUACUUCCUUGUCUUCCAUAUGAAAUGUUUUUACUCACCAUGUCUGUGCAGGAAUUGUUGCACUCAGUAAAGCAGAGGACACGAAGAGGA